AACGAACGCUGGCGGCAGGCUUAACACAUGCAAGUCGAGCGCCCCGCCAGGGGAGCGGCCGACGGGUGAGUAACGCGUGGGAACGUACCUUUUGGUUCGGAACAACUCCGGGAAACUGGAGCUAAUACCGGAUAAGCCCUAACGGGGAAAGAUUUAUCGCCGAAAGAUCGGCCCGCGUCUGAUUAGCUAGUUGGUGAGGUAACGGCUCACCAAGGCGACGAUCAGUAGCUGGUCUGAGAGGAUGAUCAGCCACACUGGGACUGAGAUACGGCCCAGACUCCUACGGGAGGCAGCAGUGGGGAAUAUUGGACAAUGGGCGCAAGCCUGAUCCAGCCAUGCCGCGUGAGUGAUGAAGGCCUUAGGGUUGUAAAGCUCUUUUGUCCGGGAAGAUAAUGACUGUACCGGAAGAAUAAGCCCCGGCUAACUUCGUG
Molecule: ribosomal RNA, 431 nt
Filed under: uncultured bacterium
Lineage: Bacteria
Description: partial 16S ribosomal RNA
Rfam family: Bacterial small subunit ribosomal RNA
Source: RNAcentral